GAUGAAGAACGUAGCGAAAUGCGAUAAGUAAUGUGAAUUGCAGAAUUCAGUGAAUCAUCGAAUCUUUGAACGCACAUUGCGCCCAUUAGUAUUCUAUUGGGCAUGCCUGUUCGAGCGUCAUUUUGACCACUUAAGCCUGGCUUAGUGUUGGGAAUCUACGUUUGUAGUUCCUUAAAUCUAGUGGCGGAGCCGCAGUGGCCUCUGAGCGUAGUAAUUUUUUCUCGCUUUGGAAGGUUCUGUAGUUUUUGCCGUUAAACCCCCAAUUUUUUAAGGUUGACCUCGGAUCAGGUAGGAAUACCCGCUGAACUUAAGCAUAUCAAUAAGCGGAGGA
RNAcentral lists this unclassified non-coding RNA (331 nucleotides) under soil metagenome. RNAcentral describes it as "partial contains 5.8S ribosomal RNA, internal transcribed spacer 2, and large subunit ribosomal RNA". The stretch from base 1 to 120 matches the Rfam family "5.8S ribosomal RNA", at positions 35 to 154 of the family's 154-position model. The record is from RNAcentral.